RNAcentral lists this ribosomal RNA (497 nucleotides) under uncultured bacterium. RNAcentral describes it as "partial 16S ribosomal RNA". It matches the Rfam family "Bacterial small subunit ribosomal RNA", at positions 28 to 507 of the family's 1533-position model. The record is from RNAcentral.
GAUGAACGCUGGCGGCGUGCCUAAUACAUGCAAGUCGAGCGAACAGAUGAGGAGCUUGCUCCUCUGACGUUAGCGGCGGACGGGUGAGUAACACGUGGAUAACCUACCUAUAAGACUGGGAUAACUUCGGGAAACCGGAGCUAAUACCGGAUAAUAUAUUGAACCGCAUGGUUCAAUAGUGAAAGACGGUUUUGCUGUCACUUAUAGAUGGAUCCGCGCCGCAUUAGCUAGUUGGUAAGGUAACGGCUUACCAAGGCAACGAUGCGUAGCCGACCUGAGAGGGUGAUCGGGCACACUGGGACUGAGACACGGUCCAGACUCCUACGGGAGGCAGCAGUAGGGAAUCUUCCGCAAUGGGCGAAAGCCUGACGGAGCAACGCCGCGUGAGUGAUGAAGGUCUUCGGAUCGUAAAACUCUGUUAUUAGGGAAGAACAAAUGUGUAAGUAACUAUGCACGUCUUGACGGUACCUAAUCAGAAAGCCACGGCUAACUACGUG